UUUAAUGACGUUUUCUAAAAUAAACGCCACAAAAUUUUCUCCAUUCCCCGCCCUUUUCUUUCACGCAAACUUUUCCCCUUUCUCAAAUCUCCUCGUCUUCUCUCUUUCUCAAUUCCCAUUCUCCUUUGCCUUUACCAUUUGUCCCUUUCUCAAAUCUUCUUUCCGUUUUUGUGUUUUCCUUUUCAAACCAGCACCCAGUCCUCGUCGCUUCUAGUUCCUCAUCACAAUUUUUGAGAAAUGUGGUUCCACUGCUAAUAACUUGAAGUGGAAGGUGAGGCUUGGUUAUGUUGAUUGCGAUUCUGAGAAGUAUAUCAUUUUCCCAAGCAGUAGUUGUUGCUCUCUUCAAUAGUCUUGCAAAGGGUAGGGUUGAUAUCUUCAUCAAUGGUAUGACUUCCUUUCACAAUUUGAAAUUAUGACCUUUACCAAAUAGAAACUUGAGAUAAGUUUUUUGAUCUCAUGAUCCAAAUAUACAUAGCUAAAAAUGACAAAAUCAAUGAUUUAGAAGCAAACUCAAAGAAAUGAACAAGCAAACUAAAACAAAAAAUUAAUAGGGUAGUAAAGCAAUAGCAUGAAAAUAAAUUAAACAAAAAUUUAAAACACUUGAUUCAAGUAACAAGUGCCUCCUAGGUGAAUGCUUAACCUAGAAGCAACCUUGUACCAUCCUUAUCAACCCCUAACAGCCAUGAAAAAUCAAAGUAACAACAACCUAAAGCAAACAUCAAAAUCUGGAAACAGGGUUCUGGACAACAUCUGAUUAAAAUUUGGUUUCCACUCUCAUUUGAUAGUAUUUGAUCUCCAAUUUUUUUGUGGAAGUAACUAACUAAUAUAUGAACAUGCACAUAAAUUUUCAAGAGCAUUGGACAUCAUUUAGAACUUGAAAUUUAACCAAAAUUGAAGCAAUACAAAAUCUAGAAUUUCAGCUUGGAAAACAGAAUAGCUGCUACUAAAUCUUAGAUCUAGCUCAAAAUAUAUGGAAUUUUGCUCUCAAAUUUUAUAGAACCUUAGAUAACUCAUAGAUGAACAAGUACUAAAAAGCUUGAUUCAAAUUGAAACCAAAUUGAACUUGAAAAGUAACAAAAACUAAAGCAAAAUAAAAUUUAAAAACAGAAUAACAUUCUGGAAACAGAUUUUAAAAAAAACUAAAUUUGCUAGCUUAAUUAGAACUAUUUGAUCAUGAGGGAGCACUAUAAAUCAAGCUGACAAAGUAGAGGAACAACAUAUAAAAGCUCAUGAUUUGUUGAAACUGAAAUCAACUUGAAAAUUAAUUAAACAGUAGCCAGCAUCAAACCUGGAAACUCAAAAACUUUGUUGAAUAGAAAUUGAAAUUGCAAGCUUAAAUGGAAAAUGUUUGCUUAAAGGAACCAAAGAAGAGCUAAAUAACAAGUAAAGGAAUGUAAAAGAAACUUAAAAUAAAUUUAAAUCAAAAGGAAAAAUAAAGAACAAAGAUUGAACAGCCAAGAACAUAGCAGUUAAGGAGUUACCAGCACUUGGAGUUCCAACCAGAAAAAAAAUGCUGAGGCAUGUAUGAAGGGGGGCUCUUUUAUAGCUGAAUGAAAGCUUUUUUAAUGUUUGAACCCAGCUUUAAAUGAUGCAAUCUCAACCUUCAAAAAUGCCAAGUCAGCUAAGGGAUAUUUUGGAAGAUAGACAGUUGCCCAUAACCGUUUCUACACUAGCUGAAAUUUUCAGCUAGCUUCCUCUCCCAUGUGUUGCUUGUUUUGUUGGUCAAAUGAGGUGUGUUAUAAUAUUCCUGUUUGAGGUGAGUUUUCAUCCUUCUAAAGUCUUCAAAAGUUGCAUUUUGAGCUGUCCAAAUUGACCCAACACUAGUCGGCAGCAAAUCUUAACAAAGUUGGCAACAUUUUAGGUUCAACUUGGUGUAAGUCUUUUUCGUCCAAAAUUUGAGCAAGAAAAUUUGUAGCAUAUGGGGGCUUUUUGUGCAUAAGCAGCUGGCCAUUUCCUUUCCUUUUUUUUUCAUGUGCAUUUGCUUGGAAGAGCUUACCUAUUUCAUCAAAGACUUUGGAACCCAUGUGCACACUGCCAGCAUCUUUUUCUUAGUUGCAGCAGGUAUUAACUUUGAGCUGCUAUGCUAGCUGUGUUUCCUUCCUUUUGCAGCACAUGUGAUGACAUCUUACGUGGACCUAUGAUAAUUCUAUAAAAAAUAAAAUUAUCAAAUGGCAGUUACAAAUUUAUGAUGCUUCCUUAACUUUGUGAAUGGUAAUACUGACUAGUUUUUUGAUGCUUUUUGAUAUCAAAUAUUGAGAGAUAUAAUACCAAACAUUGAUCAAAAGAGAGAUAUGGCUGCGUUCCUGCUAGAGGUGAUAGAGUAUGUCCGAUAUUUACAAGAGAGGGUUCAAAAAUAUGGGGGUUCAUAUCAGAGAUAGAGUUCUUAGCCCACAAAAAUCAAAAGCCAAGGGAUCCAAAGUUUCAUUUUGAUGACAUAUGUGUCUUUGAGCUAAUCAAGCACCCUGACAUCUUAAUGAAAGAAACAAACUAGGAGGAUGGUUUCCAUCUUUGAAUAUGAUGAGCUUUCUACCUGUCAAGCUUUAUGAUGAUGCUUCAGUGGGAAGGAGAAGAGAAUAGGUCACCUUUGUUUUGUUUUGCAGCCUUGUUUAUCGUGAUAGAAAAGGACAAUGUUAGAAAAAAAGUGACUCUUCUAGUUUUAUAGGUUUUCUUCCUACUAUGAAAGCUUGUGGAUAAGAAACCAUCCUAGUGUACAUACUUCUAAAGACCUCUAGCUAUUGAAUGCCUAAUCCAACUCGUGAUGGUUUAAUUUAGAAAUCAUAGUUUUCAAGUGUCAGGAAAAAAAUCGAAAGGAAUUACAGCUCAGAAAAGUGUGAUGUCAGUGGAGUCAGACCUUGACAUAUACUUUUGUUCUUCAGCGGUUACAGUUCAAAUGAUUAUGGUAUCAAAUAGAGAGUUCAGCCUCUCCAGCACUUGCAUGUUUUUUAUAUCUUUCUUAUGAUAAUUCCUAGAAGAAGAGUUGGCUAGGCAAAUAUCAUAGCCAUUCUUUAAGAGUUUUUAUACUUAAAUUGUAGUCUUGUGUCUUUACUAACAAUGUAUAUGUUUUUUAGAAUAUGUUUUUUAAAUGUCAAUAAAAUAGAUUUCUUGUUAUAUUUACCAUAUAUGGUUGUUAUGCUUUUGAUAGCUAUGACUUUAGUCAGCACCAUGAUUUGGGAACAAUUGCUGACAUAGAAUAAUUGAGUUAAAGAUGAAAGAAUUAGUCAUCUAUUCACUUGUGAAAGUAGUUGAGAUAACAAUCAGAUAAUUUACUAGACUUGUUUGGAUAUUCACUCAUAGAAAGUGACAAAAAUGAAGAUGAGGAAAUUAUCCAUUUGCUUACUUGUAAGAAGUGGCCAAGAGAAA
This is a non-coding RNA of Durio zibethinus, 3360 nucleotides long. Lineage: Eukaryota; Viridiplantae; Streptophyta; Magnoliopsida; Malvales; Malvaceae. The record is from RefSeq and is a predicted model, not a curated record.